UACGUAGGGUGCGAGCGUUGUCCGGAAUUAUUGGGCGUAAAGGGCUCGUAGGCGGUUUGUCGCGUCGGGAGUGAAAUCCACUGGCUUAACUGGUGGCUUGCUUUCGAUACGGGCAGACUGGAGGUAUGCAGGGGAGAACGGAAUUCCUGGUGUAGCGGUGAAAUGCGCAGAUAUCAGGAGGAACACCGGUGGCGAAGGCGGUUCUCUGGGCCGAAAUUGACGCUGAGGAGCGAAAGCGUGGGGAGCAAACAGG
Molecule: ribosomal RNA, 253 nt
Filed under: uncultured bacterium
Lineage: Bacteria
Description: partial 16S ribosomal RNA
Rfam family: Bacterial small subunit ribosomal RNA
Source: RNAcentral